Long non-coding RNA from Hemicordylus capensis (graceful crag lizard), 269 nucleotides. RefSeq lists it as uncharacterized. The transcript has 2 exons. The record is from RefSeq and is a predicted model, not a curated record. NCBI's taxonomy places the organism in Eukaryota, Metazoa, Chordata, Lepidosauria, Squamata, Cordylidae.
UGUUAAAGGAACAGCAGCCCACCAGCUGGCCCUGCCCCUCUGACCUUCACAUGUUGAAGUGAAAAUGAGAAUUAGUUUCUUAUUCUUCCGGAGACCUCUUGAAGAGCAAAGUGAAGUAUGUUCCUUUUUCACACAGCUGUGCCUGGAUGCUUAGCUGACUCUGGAAUUCAUCUUCUUUGCCGCUGGCAUUUCAAGCCACAACUAAGCCAGUCAUAAUGGAAAUCUCAAGGGAAAUAUCUUAAUUAGUGCUAAUAAAAAUAUUGCAACAU